RNAcentral lists this ribosomal RNA (253 nucleotides) under uncultured bacterium. RNAcentral describes it as "partial 16S ribosomal RNA". It matches the Rfam family "Bacterial small subunit ribosomal RNA", at positions 524 to 776 of the family's 1533-position model. The record is from RNAcentral.
CACGUAGGGGCCAAGCGUUGUCCGGAUUUAUUGGGCGUAAAGAGCUCGUAGGCGGUCUGUCGCGUCGAAUGUGAAAACCCGGGGCUCAACCCCGGGCCUGCAUUCGAUACGGGCAGACUAGAGUUCGGUAGGGGAGUCUGGAAUUCCUGGUGUAGCGGUGAAAUGCGCAGAUAUCAGGAGGAACACCGGUGGCGAAGGCGGGACUCUGGGCCGAUACUGACGCUGAGGAGCGAAAGCGUGGGGAGCGAACAGG